UUGAACGCUGGCGGCAGGCCUAACACAUGCAAGUCGAGCGGCAGCGCGGGGCAACCUGGCGGCGAGCGGCGGACGGGUGAGUAACGCGUAGGAAUCUACCCAGUAGCGGGGGAUAGCCCGGGGAAACUCGGAUUAAUACCGCAUACGCCCUAAGGGGGAAAGCAGGGGAUCGUAAGACCUUGCACUAUUGGAAGAGCCUGCGUUGGAUUAGCUAGUUGGUAGGGUAAAGGCCUACCAAGGCGACGAUCCAUAACUGGUCUGAGAGGAUGAUCAGUCACACCGGAACUGAGACACGGUCCGGACUCCUACGGGAGGCAGCAGUGGGGAAUAUUGGACAAUGGGGGCAACCCUGAUCCAGCCAUGCCGCGUGUGUGAAGAAGGCCUUCGGGUUGUAAAGCACUUUAAGUGGGGAGAAAGGUUCGGCAGCUAAUACCUGCCGGAAGUGAUGUUACCCACAGAAUAAGCACCGGCUAACUCUGUGCCAGCCGCCGCAGUAA
RNAcentral lists this ribosomal RNA (497 nucleotides) under uncultured bacterium. RNAcentral's name for it is "partial 16S ribosomal RNA". It matches the Rfam family "Bacterial small subunit ribosomal RNA", at positions 29 to 523 of the family's 1533-position model. The record is from RNAcentral.